UUAAGCGACUAAGCGUACACGGUGGAUGCCCUGGCAGUCAGAGGCGAUGAAGGACGUGCUAAUCUGCGAUAAGCGUCGGUAAGGUGAUAUGAACCGUUAUAACCGGCGAUUUCCGAAUGGGGAAACCCAGUGUGAUUCGUCACACUAUCAUUAACUGAAUCCAUAGGUUAAUGAGGCGAACCGGGGGAACUGAAACAUCUAAGUACCCCGAGGAAAAGAAAUCAACCGAGAUUCCCCCAGUAGCGGCGAGCGAACGGGGAGCAGCCCAGAGCCUGAAUCAGUGUGUGUGUUAGUGGAAGCGUCUGGAAAGGCGCGCGAUACAGGGUGACAGCCCCGUACACAAAAAUGCACAUGCUGUGAGCUCGAUGAGUAGGGCGGGACACGUGGUAUCCUGUCUGAAUAUGGGGGGACCAUCCUCCAAGGCUAAAUACUCCUGACUGACCGAUAGUGAACCAGUACCGUGAGGGAAAGGCGAAAAGAACCCCGGCGAGGGGAGUGAAAAAGAACCUGAAACCGUGUACGUACAAGCAGUGGGAGCACGCUUCGGCGUGUGACUGCGUACCUUUUGUAUAAUGGGUCAGCGACUUAUAUUCUGUAGCAAGGUUAACCGAAUAGGGGAGCCGAAGGGAAACCGAGUCUUAACUGGGCGUUAAGUUGCAGGGUAUAGACCCGAAACCCGGUGAUCUAGCCAUGGGCAGGUUGAAGGUUGGGUAACACUAACUGGAGGACCGAACCGACUAAUGUUGAAAAAUUAGCGGAUGACUUGUGGCUGGGGGUGAAAGGCCAAUCAAACCGGGAGAUAGCUGGUUCUCCCCGAAAGCUAUUUAGGUAGCGCCUCGUGAAUUCAUCUCCGGGGGUAGAGCACUGUUUCGGCAAGGGGGUCAUCCCGACUUACCAACCCGAUGCAAACUGCGAAUACCGGAGAAUGUUAUCACGGGAGACACACGGCGGGUGCUAACGUCCGUCGUGAAGAGGGAAACAACCCAGACCGCCAGCUAAGGUCCCAAAGUCAUGGUUAAGUGGGAAACGAUGUGGGAAGGCCCAGACAGCCAGGAUGUUGGCUUAGAAGCAGCCAUCAUUUAAAGAAAGCGUAAUAGCUCACUGGUCGAGUCGGCCUGCGCGGAAGAUGUAACGGGGCUAAACCAUGCACCGAAGCUGCGGCAGCGACACUAUGUGUUGUUGGGUAGGGGAGCGUUCUGUAAGCCUGUGAAGGUGUACUGUGAGGUAUGCUGGAGGUAUCAGAAGUGCGAAUGCUGACAUAAGUAACGAUAAAGCGGGUGAAAAGCCCGCUCGCCGGAAGACCAAGGGUUCCUGUCCAACGUUAAUCGGGGCAGGGUGAGUCGACCCCUAAGGCGAGGCCGAAAGGCGUAGUCGAUGGGAAACAGGUUAAUAUUCCUGUACUUGGUGUUACUGCGAAGGGGGGACGGAGAAGGCUAUGUUGGCCGGGCGACGGUUGUCCCGGUUUAAGCGUGUAGGCUGGUUUUCCAGGCAAAUCCGGAAAAUCAAGGCUGAGGCGUGAUGACGAGGCACUACGGUGCUGAAGCAACAAAUGCCCUGCUUCCAGGAAAAGCCUCUAAGCAUCAGGUAACAUCAAAUCGUACCCCAAACCGACACAGGUGGUCAGGUAGAGAAUACCAAGGCGCUUGAGAGAACUCGGGUGAAGGAACUAGGCAAAAUGGUGCCGUAACUUCGGGAGAAGGCACGCUGAUAUGUAGGUGAAGUCCCUCGCGGAUGGAGCUGAAAUCAGUCGAAGAUACCAGCUGGCUGCAACUGUUUAUUAAAAACACAGCACUGUGCAAACACGAAAGUGGACGUAUACGGUGUGACGCCUGCCCGGUGCCGGAAGGUUAAUUGAUGGGGUUAGCGCAAGCGAAGCUCUUGAUCGAAGCCCCGGUAAACGGCGGCCGUAACUAUAACGGUCCUAAGGUAGCGAAAUUCCUUGUCGGGUAAGUUCCGACCUGCACGAAUGGCGUAAUGAUGGCCAGGCUGUCUCCACCCGAGACUCAGUGAAAUUGAACUCGCUGUGAAGAUGCAGUGUACCCGCGGCAAGACGGAAAGACCCCGUGAACCUUUACUAUAGCUUGACACUGAACAUUGAGCCUUGAUGUGUAGGAUAGGUGGGAGGCUUUGAAGUGUGGACGCCAGUCUGCAUGGAGCCGACCUUGAAAUACCACCCUUUAAUGUUUGAUGUUCUAACGUUGACCCGUGAUCCGGGUUGCGGACAGUGUCUGGUGGGUAGUUUGACUGGGGCGGUCUCCUCCUAAAGAGUAACGGAGGAGCACGAAGGUUGGCUAAUCCUGGUCGGACAUCAGGAGGUUAGUGCAAUGGCAUAAGCCAGCUUGACUGCGAGCGUGACGGCGCGAGCAGGUGCGAAAGCAGGUCAUAGUGAUCCGGUGGUUCUGAAUGGAAGGGCCAUCGCUCAACGGAUAAAAGGUACUCCGGGGAUAACAGGCUGAUACCGCCCAAGAGUUCAUAUCGACGGCGGUGUUUGGCACCUCGAUGUCGGCUCAUCACAUCCUGGGGCUGAAGUAGGUCCCAAGGGUAUGGCUGUUCGCCAUUUAAAGUGGUACGCGAGCUGGGUUUAGAACGUCGUGAGACAGUUCGGUCCCUAUCUGCCGUGGGCGCUGGAGAACUGAGGGGGGCUGCUCCUAGUACGAGAGGACCGGAGUGGACGCAUCACUGGUGUUCGGGUUGUCAUGCCAAUGGCACUGCCCGGUAGCUAAAUGCGGAAGAGAUAAGUGCUGAAAGCAUCUAAGCACGAAACUUGCCCCGAGAUGAGUUCUCCCUGACUCCUGAGAGUCCUGAAGGAACGUUGAAGACGACGACGUUGAUAGGCCGGGUGUGUAAGCGCAGCGAUGCGUUGAGCUAACCGGUACUAAUGAACCGUGAGGCUUAACCU
This 2899-nucleotide ribosomal RNA is filed under the name Escherichia coli. RNAcentral's name for it is "23S ribosomal RNA". It matches the Rfam family "Bacterial large subunit ribosomal RNA". The record is from RNAcentral. Lineage: Bacteria; Pseudomonadati; Pseudomonadota; Gammaproteobacteria; Enterobacterales; Enterobacteriaceae.